UACGGAGGGAGCUAGCGUUGUUCGGAAUUACUGGGCGUAAAGCGCACGUAGGCGGCUUUGUAAGUUAGAGGUGAAAGCCCGGGGCUCAACCCGGGAAUUGCCUUUAAGACUGCAUCGCUUGAAUCCGGGAGAGGUGAGUGGAAUUCCGAGUGUAGAGGUGAAAUUCGUAGAUAUUCGGAAGAACACCAGUGGCGAAGGCGGCCACCUGGACUGCACCUGACGCUGACACGCGAAAGCUAGGGGAGCGAACGGG
This 253-nucleotide ribosomal RNA is filed under the name uncultured bacterium. RNAcentral describes it as "partial 16S ribosomal RNA". It matches the Rfam family "Bacterial small subunit ribosomal RNA", at positions 524 to 776 of the family's 1533-position model. The record is from RNAcentral.